This 441-nucleotide ribosomal RNA is filed under the name uncultured bacterium. RNAcentral's name for it is "partial 16S ribosomal RNA". It matches the Rfam family "Bacterial small subunit ribosomal RNA", at positions 338 to 795 of the family's 1533-position model. The record is from RNAcentral.
CCUACGGGUGGCAGCAGUGGGGAAUAUUGCACAAUGGGGGAAACCCUGAUGCAGCGACGCCGCGUGGGUGAAGAAGUAUUUCGGUAUGUAAAGCCCUAUCAGCAGGGAAGAAAAAUGACGGUACCUGACUAAGAAGCACCGGCUAAAUACGUGCCAGCAGCCGCGGUAAUACGUAUGGUGCAAGCGUUAUCCGGAUUUACUGGGUGUAAAGGGAGCACAGGCGGCACGCGAAGCCUGAUGUGAAAACCCGGGGCCCAACCGCGGGACUGCUCUUGGAACUGCGUGGCUGGAGUGCAGGAGGGGCAGGCGGAAGUGCUGGUGUAGAGGUGAAAUGCGUAGAUAGCAGGAGGAACACCGGUGGGGAAGGCGGCCUGCUGGACUGCAAUUGACGUUGAGGCCCGAAAGCGUGGGGAGCAAACAGGAUUAGAUACCCGUGUAGUC